Molecule: small nuclear RNA, 146 nt
Organism: Nycticebus coucang (slow loris)
Lineage: Eukaryota; Metazoa; Chordata; Mammalia; Primates; Lorisidae
Product: U4 spliceosomal RNA
Exons: 1
Source: RefSeq, a predicted model, not a curated record
AGUUUUGGGCAGCGCAGUACCAUCGCCAAAGAGUUUUUUUCCGAGGUGCAAUUAUUGCUAAUUGAAAGCUUUUCUCAAUACCCCGCUGUGAGGACUUGCAAUAUAGUUGGCACUAUAUUGGCAAUUUUUGACAGUCUCUACAGAGA